Molecule: small RNA, 1595 nt
Filed under: Vigna angularis var. angularis
Lineage: Eukaryota; Viridiplantae; Streptophyta; Magnoliopsida; Fabales; Fabaceae
Description: Non-protein coding transcript
Source: RNAcentral
AAUAAUUUGGAUGGUAAGAUUUUUAAGAAAGGGGAUUAUGCGAUAGCAGCAACGAGGGCGGUUUAUUAUGUUACCCUUGUCAAUCACAGUAGUGCCUCAAAGUGAAACAAGGUGCUUGCAUUAAAGGAUUUGCAUUCCCUGCAUGGGUUGAAAUAGACACGUGGAAAGCUUGGUCUUGGUGCAAAGAUGGUAUUGAUUGAGGAGAAAUAGGUCCAGGGACUAAAUAGGAAGUUGAAGUACGGGCUUGCUUUGUACAUGUGGUGGAGAAAAUGCAAGAGCUAAUAAGUAAAAGUCAGGAAGACAGACUAUUUCCAAUGAGGAGCAUUGGUGUCUUAAAGAUAUUAUCGUUUUCAUGAUGUUACAAGGUGAAGAACUUAAAGACUUUGUUGAUGUAAACACUUAGAAAUUUUCUUGUGUUUAGAAAGUUUGCGCCAAUAAUCAAUUAUUUGGUGUAUAAUCGAUUAUCACGAGCAUAUUUGAAAAAGAUAUGCUCAUGCAAAUAAUCGAUUAUCUUUGUCUGAUUCAGUAUUGCCCAGGUCGCGCAAAUAAUCGAUUGUUCCUCAAGAUAAUCGAUUAUCUCUUUUUGAAAACCCCAUAACAGACACAAAUAAUCGAUUAUCAUAAUAAAUUAUAUUUGGCAGUUGGGAGUUGUCUUUUCAUUUUCAGAGCCUUGGCUUAUAAAUAUAAGUCUUUACAACUCUUAGAAAGUAUAUUUUCAAUUUGAGAGUAUUAGAGUUGUCUGCCUAAGGGAAGCUCUUUGAGAGUGAAAAAGAAUCUAAGCCACUUGAAAAUACAGAAACCCUCUGAGGAAGUUUUCAAGUGUUAGAGGUACUCAAAUCAAGUCUUGUGAAAAGGAGAAACUUGCGCUUAAUGGAUCUAAGGUCGAAGCGUUCCUCUUCAAGUUCAUUGAGCAGAUUCUUUAGUUCAUUAAUCCAAGGAAGGUGGUUUUUGUUCUUAUUUUUUAUUCCAUUCUAUUGUAAUCUAUGAAUAAUAUUUUAUUGAAGCUACAUGUGGUAUGGUUAUGAGCCUGUAUGGGGAAGCUACAUGUGGUAUGGUGAAGCUACAGGUGGUAUGAUUGAGUACAAGAGACAGACCAAUGUCCUUCAUGAUGAUGUUGGGAAUUUGUAGUGACUUUGUGUUUAAAGACGAUGUUGAUAAGGAUACCGUUGAUGGUAUAGUAAUGAUAUAAUUAAUGAGAAUGUUGGUGAUGAUCAUGUUGUAGAAAUGAUUUUGUUAGUAGGAUAGAGUUGUAGACAAUUAAUUGUUAUUAAGUUGAGUUGUUUCUUAUGUACAAAUUUUAUUGUUAUUGGUUAUGUUAUGGUAGCUUAUCCAUAUUUGUUUGUUCUUGUGGUUAUGUGUGUGUUUUGUGAUGAUUGUAGGACCUUUGAUUAUACGAGAGCAUGAGAUGUAUCAGAUGCUUGAUAAAUAUGCUAGAAUGAGGAGCAGCUUUGGGUUUAUUUAAAGCUUUGAGUUAUAAAUUUAAGAAAUAAUGUAAAUGGAUUAAUUUUAUUUCUUGAUUAAUUUGGUUAAUUUUUGGGAUUUUGUAAUUGGAUUAUAUUUUUGGUGAAGUUAGAACUUUGUUUAAAUUCUGUAAG